AAUCUCGGAUGGCGAUGGAGGAUGCGGGGGAGCACCUCUGAAAUAUCUCGGCAUUUGUGCCACGGCGAAACGUGUGAAGCAUUGCUGGAUUUUUAAUUUUC
Molecule: unclassified non-coding RNA, 101 nt
Filed under: uncultured Ascomycota
Lineage: Eukaryota; Fungi; Ascomycota
Description: sequence contains ITS2
Source: RNAcentral